GGCUUGUUGAUUAUAAUUUUAGGUCGGGCCUGCCCAAUGAAUGAUUAAAUGGCCGCGGUAUAUUGACCGUGCAAAGGUAGCAUAAUCAUUAGUUUUUUAAUUGAAAGCUUGUAUGAAAGGUUAGAUGAGAGAAUUACUGUCUCUAAAAAAAUUUUGUGGAAUUUUAUUUUUAAGUGAGAAAGCUUAAAUAUUAAUAGAAGACGAGAAGACCCUAUAGAGUUUUAUAUUUGUAAAAGUAAUUAAUAUUUUAGGGUUUUAUUUAUAAAUUUUUACAAUUAUUUGGUUGGGGUGAUUAGAAAAUUAAAGUAACUUUUCUUUAUUUAAACAUUUAUUUAUGAAUUUGUGAUCCUUGAAUUAAGAUUUAAAGAUUAAACUACCUUAGGGAUAACAGCGUAAUCUCUUUUAGAGUUCUAAUCGAAAAGGAGGAUUGCGACCUCGAUGUUGGAUUAAAAUUUAUUGUUGGUGUAGAAGCUUAUGAGUUAGGUCUGUUCGACCUUUAAAAUUUUACAUGAUCUGAGUUUAAACCGGUGUGAG
Molecule: ribosomal RNA, 534 nt
Filed under: Trigonopterus sp. 168 AR-2022a
Lineage: Eukaryota; Metazoa; Arthropoda; Insecta; Coleoptera; Curculionidae
Description: partial large subunit ribosomal RNA
Rfam family: Bacterial large subunit ribosomal RNA
Source: RNAcentral